Molecule: long non-coding RNA, 1129 nt
Filed under: Crocodylus porosus (Australian saltwater crocodile)
Lineage: Eukaryota; Metazoa; Chordata; Crocodylia; Crocodylidae
Description: lncRNA (ENSCPRG00005009377.1)
Source: RNAcentral
AAGAAAUGAGAGCUCCAAGGGUCUAUUUCCUAUCGCUGACUCCUGGUUUCACAGCUUACCACAGCGGCCUUUGGUUUAUUUUUAUUCAGCAUCUAGAUCCAGGAAAGCCCUUUAAUGAUGUAAAUGAGCAACCCUAUUAGGUAUUCAAGCCACAAAUAAAUCCAUUCCUAUGUAUGGUUCUUUGGGUAAAGCUGAUAUCUUUUAUUAGACCAACUCAAAUAGUUGAAAAAAAUUCUUCUUUGUAAGCUUUUGGGCACAGACGCCCUUCAUCAGGCUGAGGAAGCAUCUGCAGUUGGCAUGUGCUCUUCCUGGAUGGAAUGGUCUGCAUGCAAGAAAGCCAGUCAGUGACACUGUAAAUUAAGGAGUCAAUGGGCUAUGUACAGCACUUGAAAGAGAAUCAGAAAUUUUUUUAAAGUUCAAGUUUCAGUAAAAAGAUUGCCAUUUUUUUUUGCAAAAAUUCAUAUACAUUUUCCCAGCUCCAACCAUCCCCUCUAGUUUCAGUUGUGAAAUGCAGUUAGCACUUGUACAACCAUUUUCACUUACAAAUACUUUAAGCAUGUUCAGAUCACUAUAAAAUUAGCAGAAACAUUCAGGAUUGUUUUACCAUCAGUUGUGCCACAGAUUUCCUGUGUGAUCUUGGCUUCUCUGUAAAUUGGGGAUAAUACUUCCCCAUAUUGCAAGGCCUUAUUUAUUUAUUUAUUUAUUUUUAGGAGGAAAUCACUGCUGCUCAAGAAAACCCUUGGAAUCAAUUGCAAAGGGCUGUAGAAGGCUAACGGAUUACAAUACUUUUUUGGACUCUUCAAAUUCAUUAGCUAACAACGGGAGAUCCAGCCCAGUUUAAAUUCAUUUCCAACGCAUGUUCCAGGUCAGACACAGAAAGGGCAGAAGUGGACCGGGGAGGCGUCCGAGACAUUAGAGCCAGGCUUGAAACAGCUGCCUCUUUCUCCAGCUGUGAAUUCCUGCAGGGGAAUUCCUCACUGCUAUAACAUUUUGGAGUCAGCGUCGCAGCUGCACCGCACCUUUGUGACCCUUCUUGAACAAUAUCUUUGCCUUCUACUUUUGACCCUUUCCUCCCCUCGUGCAAGGGCCCUGGUGCCAAAGGGACCUCUAUGUAGUGCUGCAGUGGCCA